UAAGACACUGGUAAAAAAGAAUAUCACACCGCCUUGUCGAGGCGGAGUCGUGGGUUAAACUCCCGCGUGUCUUACCC
RNAcentral lists this transfer RNA (77 nucleotides) under Chirolophis japonicus. RNAcentral's name for it is "tRNA-Asp". It matches the Rfam family "tRNA". From Rfam's summary of the family: Transfer RNA (tRNA) molecules are approximately 80 nucleotides in length. Their secondary structure includes four short double-helical elements and three loops (D, anti-codon, and T loops). Lineage: Eukaryota; Metazoa; Chordata; Actinopteri; Perciformes; Stichaeidae. The record is from RNAcentral.